Molecule: long non-coding RNA, 161 nt
Organism: Bufo bufo (common toad)
Lineage: Eukaryota; Metazoa; Chordata; Amphibia; Anura; Bufonidae
Exons: 3
Source: RefSeq, a predicted model, not a curated record
UAAUUGUUAUUAAGUGUCCCUACCCCAAGGCUAAAUGCACCCGAUCAGGAUUGCGUGCUGAAAAUCGGCACCAUAGGUCAUGUAUAUUGUAUUCUAUUAGAAUGUGAAAUUCUCAUGCACACGGUGCAGAUUUUUUCUGCCUGGAUUUUGACCUACUGUGC